UAUUUAAAGAUUUCAUUUCCACAAUAACCCCAUUUUGUGCCAUGGCUUGACCUCUAAUGGAAUGUCCAUGACCUUUAGCUGCUACAUGAAAAGGGACAGAAAGGUCAUAAGAAAAUUUAAUGAGGUCAAUUAUGUCAUUAACAUUAGAAGGAUAAAGAACAGCAGCUGGAAAAAUAUUUUGAAUAAUUUUUCCAAAAUCUUUGGAAGAUGAUAUAAUAUCAUCAGAAUUUAACAUCCGCGUAAAACCCUAAUUCCGAAUCCCAAGAAACCCUAAUUCCAUAAUUCCUAUUAUUAUUAUUAUUAUUAUUAUUAUUAUUAUUUAAAGAUUUCAUUUCCACAAUAACCCCAUUUUGUGCCAUGGCUUGACCUCUAAUGGAAUGUCCAUGACCUUUAGCUGCUACAUGAAAAGGGACAGAAAGGUCAUAAGAAAAUUUAAUGAGGUCAAUUAUGUCAUUAACAUUAGAAGGAUAAAGAACAGCAGCUGGAAAAAUAUUUUGAAUAAUUUUUCCAAAAUCUUUGGAAGAUGA
Molecule: long non-coding RNA, 527 nt
Filed under: Capsicum annuum
Lineage: Eukaryota; Viridiplantae; Streptophyta; Magnoliopsida; Solanales; Solanaceae
Description: long non-coding RNA (CANN_LNC021912)
Source: RNAcentral